AGCAUCCUUGUAUUGUGCUGACCAGAAUUGGAUAUAAAAUUUGUGGGGUGGCCUGACCAAUGCAACAUAGAGUGGAAAUACUACUUAACAUAAUCAGAACACUAUACAACUUUUGAUACAGCCCAAGAUUGCAUUUGAUCUUUUGGCAAUUGCACUGGACAAUGGAUCAUAUUCUAACAAAUACUAGAGCCAAGCCACAUACCACCAGUCUUGUACUUGUGUAUCUGAUUAUUCUUACCUAAAGUCAGAAUCCAAUAUUUCUCCUCAUUGAAGUGCAUUGUAUUAGAAAGAGCCAAAUGUUGAAGUCUAUCAAGAAUUUGUUUGAAACCUGAUACCGUCUUUUGAAACCCUAGCAAUUUCAAAGGCUUACCCAUCUGACAGAAGAAGAAAAUGGGAAUGAGAAACAGCUGGGGUACGAAAGUGAAAGCAUAGGUUGUGAAUAAGUUAGCAAAAGUUAUGAACCAUAAGAAUCCAUAAGCACUGACCCAGAUGUCAGAAGAAAAUAAAAGAACAA
Protobothrops mucrosquamatus (brown spotted pit viper) is the source of this 514-nucleotide long non-coding RNA. RefSeq lists it as uncharacterized. The transcript has 3 exons. NCBI's taxonomy places the organism in Eukaryota, Metazoa, Chordata, Lepidosauria, Squamata, Viperidae. The record is from RefSeq and is a predicted model, not a curated record.